This is an RNA transcript of Vigna radiata var. radiata (mung bean), 1161 nucleotides long. It is a transcript of the gene named mitochondrial outer membrane protein porin 1, with no coding region annotated. The record is from RefSeq and is a predicted model, not a curated record. NCBI's taxonomy places the organism in Eukaryota, Viridiplantae, Streptophyta, Magnoliopsida, Fabales, Fabaceae. The transcript has 6 exons.
AAUAAAUUAUCAUCCCAACAAAUCAUGCAAAGGUGAAAGAUAAACAAAUUUUUAUUUCUCACCUUUCGUUUAAGCGAAAUGAGCACCAGUCCAGGGAUAUAUUUUGAUAUUGGCAAGAAGGCUAAAGAUGUUCUGCACAAGGAUUAUUCAAAUCUAUCACCAAUUCACUUUCAUUACCAGUUUAUGGAUUACAACGUCGACCUCUCUUGUCAAUUAAAUGAAAUUCUACCUGGAUUCAGGAGCCUUUUCAAAUGCACCAUACCUGAUUCAGGGAAGGUAGAAGUACAACAUUUGACUAACUACACUGGAAUUACUGGAUGCAUUGGACUGGAAGGAAACUUAGAAAAAGGAUAUGAUCCUGUUCUGAACUUGUCGGGUCUUGUGGGAACAAACAUCUUGUCACUUGGAGCCAAUGUUGCUUUAGACAUACCAACAAGAACAUUCAGUAAUCUGAAUGCUGGAUUAAACCUCAACACUCCCUUCCUUGUUGCUUCCUUGACCACGCAUGACAGUUUCGACAUUCUGAAAGCCUCCUGUUAUCACGAAGUGAACCCCCUAAGCAAAACCGCCAUUGCAGCAGAGCUGAAGCAUAGCUUGUCAAUGGGGGAGACUAGUGCCACCAUUGGUGCUCAGCAUGCAAUUCUUCCGGAAACGUUAGUAAAGGCUCGAUUUGACACCUUUGGCAAGGCAGGUGCAGUUAUUCAACAAGGGUUCUGGGAGAGGUUUUAUGUGUCUAUGGCUGGAGAAGUGGAUUUUAAGACCACAGAUAAUAAUUUACAUCCCAAGGUUGGAGUCUCUGUGGCUUUAAGACCCUAGUCAGUGCCACUGAGAUAAACUUUCAUAUCCAAUUCAGAGGUUGUUGGUUUUAAGGAGACUUCUAAAUGAUGGCAUAAAACGGAUGAAACACAUCGAUUUUCGCCAUCCAUUUUCUUCAAUAUUCAACAACAUUGAGUCUGUGAAACAAAUAGCUCCAGAAUUACUUCUUUUCUUGGAUGAGAUGGUAGCUUCCGGUGUUACUUAUGUUCUUUAUGUAGUUAUGAAUGCCUUUAUUAUUUGUAAACUGGAAGUAGUUUCAUAUUUUCUUAAGAGAAAACAGUUAGCACUGCGUUACAAUCAAACCUUCAGAUUCCGAUGGAAACAUUUAUAGCAUAACAUCAUCGA